RNAcentral lists this ribosomal RNA (440 nucleotides) under uncultured bacterium. RNAcentral's name for it is "partial 16S ribosomal RNA". It matches the Rfam family "Bacterial small subunit ribosomal RNA", at positions 338 to 795 of the family's 1533-position model. The record is from RNAcentral.
CCUACGGGAGGCAGCAGAGGGGGAUAUUGCACAAUGGGGGAAACCCUGAUGCAGCGACGCCGCGUGGGUGAAGAAGCGCCUCGGCGCGUAAAGCCCUGUCAGCAGGGAAGCAAAUGACGGUACCUGAAGAAGAAGCCCCGGCUAACUACGUGCCAGCAGCCGCGGUAAUACGUAGGGGGCAAGCGUUAUCCGGCUUUACUGGGUGUAAAGGGGGCGCAGACGGCGACGCAAGCCAGGAGUGAAAGCCCGGGGCCCAACCCCGGGACUGCUCUUGGAACUGCGUGGCUAGAGUGCAGGAGGGGCAGGCGGAAUUCCUGGUGUAGCGGUGAAAUGCGUAGAUAUCAGGAGGAACACCGGUGGCGAAGGCGGCCUGCUGGACUGCAACUGACGUUGAGGCCCGAAAGCGUGGGGAGCAAACAGGAUUAGAUACCCUAGUAGUC